This 492-nucleotide ribosomal RNA is filed under the name uncultured bacterium. Its description in RNAcentral is "partial 16S ribosomal RNA". It matches the Rfam family "Bacterial small subunit ribosomal RNA", at positions 29 to 507 of the family's 1533-position model. The record is from RNAcentral.
AGUGAACGCUGGCGGUAGGCCUAACACAUGCAAGUCGAACGGCAGCACAGUAAGAGCUUGCUCUUACGGGUGGCGAGUGGCGGACGGGUGAGGAAUACAUCGGAAUCUACUUUUUCGUGGGGGAUAACGUAGGGAAACUUACGCUAAUACCGCAUAUGACCUACGGGUGAAAGCAGGGGAUCUUCGGACUUUGCGCGUUUCAAUGAGCCGAUGUCGGAUUAGCUAGUUGGCGGGGUAAAGGCCCACCAAGGCGACGAUCCGUAGCUGGUCUGAGAGGAUGAUCGGCCACACUGGAAUUGAGACACGGUCCAGACUCCUACGGGAGGCAGCAGUGGGGAAUAUUGGGCAAUGGGCGCAAGCCUGAUCCAGCCAUGCCGCGUGAGUGAAGAAGGCCUUCGGGUUGUAAAGCCCUUUUGUUGGGAAAGAAAAGCAGCGGGAUAAUACCCCGCUGUUCUGACGGUACCCAAAGAGAAAGCACCGGCUAACUUCGUG